Molecule: long non-coding RNA, 1217 nt
Filed under: Phasianus colchicus (ring-necked pheasant)
Lineage: Eukaryota; Metazoa; Chordata; Aves; Galliformes; Phasianidae
Description: lncRNA (ENSPCLG00000016626.1)
Source: RNAcentral
AUUGGGGUCCCAUCCACUGGGGGGGGGUCCCAUCAAUGGGGGAGGGUCCCAUCCAUCCCUACACCACAGUGGCACCAAGGGGGUCCCAUCCACGGGGGUCCCAACCAAGGGGGUCCCAUCCAUGGGUGGUGGGGUCCCAUCUAGGGGGGUCCUAUCCAUCCCUACACCACAGUGGCACCAAGGGGGUCCCAUCCAUUUUAGGCAGGGGUCCCAUCCAUGGGGGUCCCAUGCAUCCCAACACCACAAUGGCACCAAGGGGGUCCCAUCCAUGGGGUCCCAUCCAUGGGGGUCCCAUCCAUUUGGGGCGGGGGUCCCAUCCAUGGGGGUCCCAUCCAUCCCUACACCACAGUGGCACCAAGGGGGUCCCAUCCACGGGGGUCCCAUCCACGGGGGUCCCAUCCUUCGGGGUCCCGCCCAUCCCACCGCCGCGCUGCCUCCGUGUCCCCGUACUUUGCACCAGGGCGCUGCUGGGGGGCGGUGGGAGCAGGGGGGGGAUCUCCACGGCCGUGUGCUCCGCCCUGUGCUCCGCUCUGCGCAGCGCCGCCGCCGGGUUGUUGUGCGCGGGGGGGUUGGCGACCGCGAAGCCGCCGUCGGGGGGGGGCGGCGGGUUGUUGUGGGGGCCUCGGCGGGGGGCGGGCGGGGGGCACUCGGUGUGGUUGCCCAGGGGGGGCUCCCCGGUGGCCAAUUUGUUGUUUUUCAUGUUGUCGAUGUCCUCGGCCACCGGCGGCUCCAGCCGCGCCGGGUCCUGCUGGAUGGGCCGCGUGGUGGACAGCGUGGGGGCCGGCAGCGCCGCCGUGCCGUGGUUCUCCCUGGGGGGGGGUUGGGGGGGGCUCAGAGCGGGACCCCCAGCCGGGGGUGCGAGGUGGGGAGGUGGGGGGGUCAGUGCUGCCGCAGGUGGGGGUGGGGUGGGGUGGAGAUGGGAUGGGGAUGGGGUUGGGAUGGAGAUGGGGAUGAAGAUGGAGAUGGAAUGGAGAUGGAGAUGGAGAUGGGAUGGAAAUGGGGUUAGGGUUGGAGUAGAGAUGGGGUGGGAUGAAGAUGGGUUGGGAUGGAGAUGGGGUUGGAGUGGAGAUGGGAUGGAGAUGGGAAUGAGAUCGAGGUGGGAUGGAGAUGGGAUGGGAUGGGGUUGGGAUGGAGAUGGGGUUGGGGUGGAAACAGGGAUGGGAUGGGAUGGAGAUGGGAUGGGGUGGAAAUAGGGCUGGGAUGGGAUGCGUUUGGGA